GCAAAUUAAUCAAAGCGAUCACAACCAUCUUAAGUGACUAUCUCAUCAACAGAUUUGGAUACCAUCCAAGUGCUCAUCAUAAAAACAAUGUUGCAAUAUCUCUGGUCAAUAAAUAUGAUGUUUUGAGAUCGAACAGCGCUGAAGUGCCACAGGCCCUAUGGUUUUAUCCACACGGACGCGGACAUGGAAGACAUAGCGGUAAAUUGAACUACCAUAUAGAGUACAUGGUCAAGAAAUUCGAGAAGCAGAUUCGACGGACAAAGGAUGGAAAUGUUGCCAUUGAAACUGUGGACACCAUCGUUAGUGAUUUAACCGACGAUCAGUUAAAUGAUGUGAUUGCCAAAUUAAAGUUCAUCGUUCCGUCAGAAGCGUCGUUCGAGAUAAUUAAGUCUGGCUGGAUGAAAACAUUUGAGGCGCGAAUUUGCAUUACGAAGUAAGGAGAAUCCAGGAGAUUUAAUAGAAAUCAUAAUGGAACAAUUUCCUUUGUCGACGUCAUUUAAUGGACAAUUGAUAAACUUGGAAUUCAAUGAAAUGUUUUCAGCAGUCAUUGCCAACUGGGGCCAGUGGAGUGCUCUUCAAGAGAAGGUCCUGAACAAUUUCAACGACCUGCACUCAACUGUGAACACUAAAUUCAUACGAACAUUGCUGAUCAUAAAGGAUAAAAAUCCAUCCCGAGGCGUUAAAAGGGUCAAUAAAGGAUCGCAAAAAAUUGCAAACCUCCUGGAAGGCAUCAUUGAAUGGAUAAAUCCGGAGGAUGAUGUCGAGCAGUAUACAUAGGGCUAUCGGAGCAGCACAAAUCCGGUGUUGAUCAUUGAAGCCCAACUGUACUGUGAAGGAGUUUGUUUUAUCCGUAUUGGAAAACGUUUUUUUUCGGUAGACUCCGAAAUUGAGGAAGCGUUCGGAACAUUAACAUUAAUUUUAGGACACAUUACUUUUUCAACUGUAAAUUUGAUGCCGCACAUGCUAACUUUUUCUCAUUUUUUACGGGGGCUAUUUUGAACAUAACUAAGCCAUCCACUACCGUGAAUGAUUUCAUCGUAAAGUUGAAAUAAGCUGUUAACUG
This is a long non-coding RNA of Armigeres subalbatus, 1063 nucleotides long. RefSeq lists it as uncharacterized. The transcript is spliced from 7 exons. NCBI's taxonomy places the organism in Eukaryota, Metazoa, Arthropoda, Insecta, Diptera, Culicidae. The record is from RefSeq and is a predicted model, not a curated record.